UUUCCUCUGGUGCACAAACCAAAAUACACCAGAAAGAGUUAUUGCCCUUUGUAACACUCUCUUGUAUUGGAGAUAUGAACAGCCUUCAUUUGUUUUCAGUAUGGCAGGAGGUGGAAAUUGAGUUUUUAUUCAAUUUGUUCUUCAGAAGUUUAUCAAUAUCAGAUGCUUUUUGUUCACUUAAUUCACUACCACGAUCUUUAUCUUCAAUUGUGCUAAAGGAUUCCGGUUUAUUUCAUGGAAUACAAAUCCGUUUGAUCUUUGCCAUAGUCACCGGACUCUAGCAUCCAAUCGUCUACGUAAUUCGUAGAAAAAGUAAAUGUUGUGGAAUUUAACGCUUUAUUGCAUCACAUCCGACUAAAAAAAUGACCAGGGAAACAGAAGACUGACAGACAUAUUCAUAGAAAAUAUGAAAAAGCCCUGCCUGUUGCCGUGUUGGAACUUGUAUUGACCUGUAUGAGCAUCAUACUGUGCAAAUCACCUAAAGAUGGAGUUGACCAAGUUGCUGACUUUGAGGAGCAUCUUUGGGACAAGGGGAAUUAACAUAGAUUGUAAAUCUAAGGACUCUGGAUUGACGAACUUGAAGAGCAGAAGAUGCAUUCCAUGACUGUUAUGUGAUAUAGAAGACAAAGAAGAGCUCUUGAGAAUGGAAAAAAAAAACCUGCGAGUUUUACAGUCAAUGAACACACCUCACGAUACAAGUCCAUCCUGAUUCAGUAAACUAUUCUUCUAAGGAAACACCAUGACUUAGUUAAGAUAAGUUUUGGUGUCAGAAGACUAAUGUAACUAAAACAUUGCAAAAUUAACCUGCAAGUGUCUUAUGUGAGCCUACUGAAUAAGGAUUCAUUACUGAACAGUUGAAGGAAAAUCACUAUUAUAAUGAUUUUUAAAAAAAGAUGAUUGUGUUGUUUGGAUAACAUUGUGAUCCAUGUUUGUUGAAUAAACAACUUUGCAAAAAUGAGUUGCUCUGUGUAAUAUUAUAAAUUUACUAAUUACUGGUAUGUCAACAUAGAUUACAGUAACACUGAACAAACUUCAAUAAAUUUUAAAGUUUCAUGCAGUUUCUGCAGUAGAAAAUGACACCUAUUGAUUUUCUGGUCCAAAGGUCACCAGGUGCAAUACAAUACUCUGUACAAUUGAUGUCUGACCAGUUUCUUCAGAACCCUUUGAUUGAUAGUGAUAUUUCAUACAGGGGUUGGUCACUGGUAGUAUAUGACCCCCAUUGAUUUUCAGGUCAAAAGAUUAAA
Molecule: long non-coding RNA, 1244 nt
Organism: Ostrea edulis (European flat oyster)
Lineage: Eukaryota; Metazoa; Mollusca; Bivalvia; Ostreida; Ostreidae
Exons: 4
Source: RefSeq, a predicted model, not a curated record